Molecule: long non-coding RNA, 870 nt
Organism: Gastrolobium bilobum
Lineage: Eukaryota; Viridiplantae; Streptophyta; Magnoliopsida; Fabales; Fabaceae
Exons: 4
Source: RefSeq, a predicted model, not a curated record
CAAUACACAAAUAAAAUUGACAAAUUUUUCUUUUUGUUCUCUUGACAGCAAGCGAAAGCAGCAUAAGAAGAAAGAGGCGUCAACUUGGAGGAUGUCUUGAACUGACUUGAAAUUCUGGCAUUUCCAUGCAAUUAGUUUGGGGCACAGGAGCCAGGAACCAAUGAAGAGAUAGCCAGGAACCAAUCAGUUUGGGGCACAGUAGGGUUCAAAGCUGAGUUUCCCAUUUUCGACAAGGGCAUGGAGGGAGUGAUGGAUUGCAUGGUUAUGUUCCUUCUCUUGAUCAUGUGAUUGCAGACGUAGGGAAACACCAGGAUGUAAUCAAUAGGUAUUCAAGAUGAAUUUUUUACCUCAGAGACAACAGAGCAUCUAGUUUCUACUCCACAAGUUGUCUCUAAUUCUAAUAGCUCGUUACCGCCUCGAUUUAAUAACCGCAAAAAUCGAUCAGAAGUUUGGGACCACUUCUCGGAGCCUAACUCAGAUAAAAAAGCCCAUUGCAAUUAUUGUGGUUGUACGAUCAAGUGUGAUAAGGGAACGAGUUCUAUGCGAACUCAUUUGAAGAGGUGUAAGGAUCAUCUAGAUAGAGAUAAAAACAAAAGGAGAAAAUCAUCUUUAUCCUCAAUUGGAGCUACAGAAGGACAUGCUGGUUCUUCCCCUUCGACGGUUGCUAGAUUUGACCAACAAGUUUGCCGGGAUGCACUUGUGAAAAUGUUAGUGGCUACCGAGCUUCCUUUUUGAUUUAUUGAGAAUGAAGACUUUCGGUGGUUUAUCAGUAUUGUAAGUCCGAAAUUUAAUCUUACCUCACGAACUACAAUGGCACGUGAUGCUUUGACAUUAUAUCAAGUAGAAAAAGUGAAGUUGAAGAAGUUUCUU